RNAcentral lists this ribosomal RNA (254 nucleotides) under uncultured bacterium. RNAcentral describes it as "partial 16S ribosomal RNA". It matches the Rfam family "Bacterial small subunit ribosomal RNA", at positions 524 to 776 of the family's 1533-position model. The record is from RNAcentral.
UACGGGGGGGGCAAGCGUUGUUCGGAUUUACUGGGCGUAAGGGGCGCGUAGGCGGUCAGCACAAGUCAGUUGUGAAAUCUCCGGGCUUAACUCGGAAAGGUCAACUGAUACUGUGCGACUAGAGUGCAGAAGGGGCAACUGGAAUUCUCGGUGUAGCGGUGAAAUGCGUAGAUAUCGAGAGGAACACCUGCGGCGAAGGCGGGUUGCUGGGCUGACACUGACGCUGAGGCGCGAAAGCCAGGGGAGCGAACGGG